Molecule: long non-coding RNA, 564 nt
Organism: Panthera uncia (snow leopard)
Lineage: Eukaryota; Metazoa; Chordata; Mammalia; Carnivora; Felidae
Exons: 2
Source: RefSeq, a predicted model, not a curated record
UCUCCGGGUCCCUCUUGCCCGGCCCACAUCCCCAGGGCUUUGCUGGGGCUCCCUCCCCUGGGAGUGGUGGGUGUGGCUGCCACAAGCCCAUCAGCUGAUACCCAUCCUUGCCUUUUUGUGUUUUUGUGAAGCAAGUUUCCCGUUAAGAAAAAAGGGCUAAAAAUAAUGAUGAUGUUUUUGUGCCAGAUGCAGUUAGCGAUCACAGUGUACCAUUAAAUUGAAGAGUGAGUGAGCUCUCCCAGCGGAGGACGAGGUCACUGAGGAUCAGCAGCUGCGAAUGCAGUUGCUUCUGCAAUUCUUGGAAUCCAUUUCCUACUUCGCUGGUAAGGAGGCAGAGGCAGAGUCGUGCGCGGAUUCGAAGCGCCGCUGACAGAUUAUCAGAUGGAGGCCUGCCCCGCAAUGCUGCUCCUCGGGGCCCCAGGCCCUGGCUCACAUGAGCUCCGUCUGCAGUCACGGUGCUCAGCACCUGCCAUCAAGUAGGUGCUCAGGACUUUGCUGGGUUCCAGUGAAAAGAACCUUCUGCCAAAUAAGGAGAUGCAAAGAAAAAAAAAAAAAGGCCAACAA